AGCUCCAAUAGCGUAUAUUAAAGUUGUUGCAGUUAAAAAGCUCGUAGUUGGAUUUCGGGAUGGCCCGGCCGGUCUGCCGCAAGGUAUGUUACUGGCCGAGCUGUUCUUCCUCGCAAAGACUGUGUGUGCUCUUAACUGAGUGUGCUCAGGAUCUGCGACGUUUACUUUGAAAAAAUUAGAGUGUUCAAAGCAAGCCAGCGCUUGAAUACAUAAGCAUGGAAUAAUGGAAUAGGACUUCGUUUUUUCCUAUUUUGUUGGUUUCUCGGAACGAAGUAAUGAUUAAGAGGGACAGUUGGGGGCAUCCGUAUUUCGUUGUCAGAGGUGAAAUUCUUGGAUUUACGAAAGACGAACAACUGCGAAAGCACUUGCCAAGAGUGUUUUCAUUAAUCAAGAACGAAAG
This 400-nucleotide ribosomal RNA is filed under the name phytoplankton environmental sample. RNAcentral's name for it is "partial small subunit ribosomal RNA". It matches the Rfam family "Eukaryotic small subunit ribosomal RNA", at positions 587 to 989 of the family's 1831-position model. The record is from RNAcentral.